UGAAUACGAGACGCUAAGGCGUCGAAGUAGUGUAUGUCAUACUUCCAAGAAAAGCUUGCACUGUCAUAGAUAAAAAACGCCUGUACCAUAACCGACACAGGUGGGUAGGUAGAGUAUACUAAGGGGCGCGAGAUAACUCUCUCUAAGGAACUCGGCAAAAUAACUCCGUAACUUCGGGAGAAGGAGUGCCUUAUUCUUAAGGUUGCAAUAACAAGAUCCAAGCAACUGUUUAUCAAAAACACAGGUCUCCGCUAAGUCGUAAGACGAUGUAUGGGGGCUGACGCCUGCCCAGUGCCAGAAGGUUAAAGAAGCUGGUUAGCAAUUGCGAAGCUGGUGACUGAAGCCCUGGUGAACGGCGGCCGUAACAAUAACGGUCCUAAGGUAGCGAAAUUCCUUGUCGGGUAAGUUCCGACCCGCACGAAAGGCGUAAUGAUUUGGAUACUGUCUCGGAGAGGGGCUCGGUGAAAUAGACUUGUCUGUGAAGAUGCGGACUACCUGCACCAGGACAGAAAGACCCUAUGAAGCUUUACUGUAACUUGAAAUUGAAAUUGGACCUUAUUCGCGCAGCAUAGGUGGGAGGCGUUGAUUAUAAUCUUGCGGGAUUAUUGGAGCCAUUAGUGAGAUACCACUCUUGUAAUGUUAGAUUUCUAACUUUGAAUCAUUAUCUGGUCAAAGGACAGUUUCAGGCGGGCAGUUUGACUGGGGCGGUCGCCUCCCAAACGGUAACGGAGGCGUACAAAGGUUUCCUCUGAACGGUUAGAAAUCGUAUCUAGAGUGUAAAGGCAUAAGGAAGCUUGACUGUGAGACCUACAGGUCGAGCAGGGACGAAAGUCGGUCUUAGUGAUCUGACGGUACUGAGUGGAAAGGCCGUCACUCAACGGAUAAAAGUUACUCUAGGAUAACAGGCUGAUCUCCCCCAAGAGUUCACAUCGACGGGGAGGUUUGGCACCUCGAUGUCGGCUCAUCGCAUCCUGGGGCGGUAGUACGUCCCAAGGGUUGGGCUGUUCGCCCAUGAAAGCGGUACGCGAGCUGGGUUCAGAACGUCGUGAGACAGUUCGGUCCAUAUCCGGUGUAGGCGUUAGAAUAUUGAGAGGAGCCUUCUUUAGUACGAGAGGACCGAGAAGGACAUACCUCUGGUGUACCAGUUAUCGUGCCAACGGUAAACGCUGGGUAGCUAUGUAUGGAGUGGAUAACCGCUGAAAGCAUCUAAGUGGGAGGCCCACCUCAAGAUAAGUAUUCUCAU
This 1243-nucleotide ribosomal RNA is filed under the name metagenome. RNAcentral describes it as "bacterial LSU rRNA". It matches the Rfam family "Bacterial large subunit ribosomal RNA", at positions 1564 to 2817 of the family's 2925-position model. The record is from RNAcentral.